RNAcentral lists this long non-coding RNA (1949 nucleotides) under Mus caroli (Ryukyu mouse). RNAcentral's name for it is "RIKEN cDNA 9330104G04 gene (MGP_CAROLIEiJ_G0006482.1)". The record is from RNAcentral. Lineage: Eukaryota; Metazoa; Chordata; Mammalia; Rodentia; Muridae.
GCUUCUGAGUCUGCGCAGAAGGAUCAUCAGUGAUGAUUGGGUCCGGAUCACGCCUCCUCUUCCAGGCAGCUUUCCCAGACCCUCAGAAGUAAAGCGGAUUGAACAUCUUACGGUUUGAUUACGCUUUUAAGCAGGACCCGUUCAAACCGGCUCUGUAAUUCCAUCAUAGGGGAGGCUGAACCAGAAGGAGAAUUGAGAGUUCAAGGCCAGCCUAAACUACAUAGUGAAUUUCAAGCUAGUUUGGAUUACACAGCGAGUUUCUGUCUCAUCAAAACAGCACACUUACGGAAUUACAAGACCCUGGGUGAAAUAUUCUAUGCUUUGACCAGAAGAGAAUCUGAGGUCUUUUUUGUCUUCCAGGUGCGGUGGAGCUGAGUUCCACCAGUCUGAGCUCGCAGGGGCCUUUGUUCACGGUUCUAAGAGGCUUUGUUCUCAGUCUUCUGAGAUGCUCUGUUCUCAACGUUCUGGAGUUCUAAAUCUGAGCCUGCCUGCUUUCCAAGGCUGCAUUCUGCCUCUUCUCACUGGGCAAGCAGGGCUAGCGCCCCCUCACGCGGCCAGCAUGUGUCACUACACCCGGUGUGUCGGCAACGUUUGUGAAAUAGCCCAUUUCUCAGACGGACCUUUGACUCCUUAAAAGCUGAGAUCUGGAAGGGAGGAUGGGGCCGUAGAAUCGCGGUGAGUUCGAGGCCAAUCUGGGCUAACUAUGACAGCCUGUUAUUGAAAGAAAAAUAUAAUGUGAAACUGUCUUUUAUAAUGUUUUAUGGUCGUCUGGCAAUAACCAACUUUGAUGUGGUGAGUCUAUGCCACUUUAAGGCAGAGUAACACUAGGAAUCGAAUUUGGUCUCUCUGUGCUCUUCAUCUACAUCUAAAAAAAAGUUAUUCUGAACGUUUAACAGCAUAAUUAUGUUUUGUUUUGCUUUUUGAGGGUUUCACUAAGUAACCCUGGCUGAUUUGUAACUAUGUAGACCAGACUGGCUUGUUACUUUCAGACCUCCUCUGGGUUGUAUCUGACUCCCCCUCCUCCAGUGCUCGUAUUAACGGAGUGGGUCACCACGUAUAACCCUGUUAAUUUUUUUUUUUUUUUUUUGGAGUAACAGCUUCUACCACUCAUAAAGAACUGAGUCCUGGGCAUGGUGAGUCAUAUCUGUAAUCCCAGCACUGGAGAAAUGGCUCAGUGAUUUAAGAGUGCUGUUGCUCUUCCAGAAAACCUGGGUUCAGUUUCUGGCACACAGAGGGAAAAAGAGGCUCACAAUCCUCUGUAACUCCAGCAUCACGGGAUCCACUGUCCUCUUCUGGUCUCCUCAGGCAACUGCACUCUGUGUGUGUGAGCACACACAUACACCACACCCUAAAAUAGUCUUGCUGGGCAGUGGUGGUACACACCUUUAAUCUCACAGCACUUGGGAGGCAGAAGCAGGCAGAUUUCUGAGUUCGAAGCCAGCCUGGUCUACAGAGUGAGUUCCAGGACAGCCAGGGCUACACAGAGAAACCCUGUCUCAAAAUAUUAAAAAAAAAAAAUUUUUUUUCAUGGUGCCAAGAGUGGUGGCUCAGGUCUGCCACUCUAGUGCUCUAAGUGAUUAGGCAGGAAGAUCUGCAGGUCCAGGCUAGCCUGGACUACAUGGCAAGACCAAACAAAAGACUGGGGAUGAGGUGCAGUAGUUGAGGCUUUGUCUAGAAUCCUACUAGUUUCAGCCCCCAGUACAUGAACAGUCAUGGCAAAUGAGGCCUCAGUUUACUCUCAGCUGUUGGAGGGUUGAGGGCUAAAAGUCGGGGUGACCAAGCAACUGGAGAACUGGGCAGGGAUCCAGAGUUAGAAAGGACAGCAUGAUGGCAGGAACCGUCAGGAGGCAAAUGCAGGUGGGUAGUGAGUACUAGGCUAGCCUGGUCUGUGAGCUCCAGGACAGCCAGAGCUAGGUAGAGAGACUUAGUCUCUAAAACAAAUUGAAAUU